UGGGGAAUAUUGCACAAUGGGCGCAAGCCUGAUGCAGCCAUGCCGCGUGUAUGAAGAAGGCCUUCGGGUUGUAAAGUACUUUCAGCGGGGAGGAAGGCGAUAAGGUUAAUAACCUUGUCGAUUGACGUUACCCGCAGAAGAAGCACCGGCUAACUCCGUGCCAGCAGCCGCGGUAAUACGGAGGGGGCAAGCGUUAAUCGGAAUUACGGGGCGUAAAGCGCACGCAGGCGGUCUGUCAAGUCGGAUGUGAAAUCCCCGGGCUCAACCUGGGAACUGCAUUCGAAACUGGCAGGCUAGAGUCUUGUAGAGGGGGGUAGAAUUCCAGGUGUAGCGGUGAAAUGCGUAGAGAUCUGGAGGAAUACCGGUGGCGAAGGCGGCCCCCUGGACAAAGACUGACGCUCAGGUGCGAAAGCGUGGGGAGCAAACA
This 427-nucleotide ribosomal RNA is filed under the name uncultured bacterium. RNAcentral's name for it is "partial 16S ribosomal RNA". It matches the Rfam family "Bacterial small subunit ribosomal RNA", at positions 355 to 774 of the family's 1533-position model. The record is from RNAcentral.